GACGAACGCUGGCGGCGUGCCUAAUACAUGCAAGUCGUGCGGACCUUUUAAAAGCUUUCUUUUACAAGUUUAUCGGCGGUCGGGUGCUUAACACGUGGGCAACCUGCCUGUCAGACUGGGAUACCGCCGCGAAACCGUGUCUACUACCAGAUCGUUUUUUCCUCCUCAUUGAGUCAACAUUACAGGCGGCUUCUGCUGCCACUUACAGCUGCGCCCGCGGCGCAUGAGCUAGUUGGCGGGGUAACGGCCCACCAAGGCCACGCUGCGUAGCCGACCUGAGAGGGUGAACGGACAGAUGGGGAGUGAGAAACGGCAGAAACUCCUACGGGAGGCAGCAGUAGGGAAUCUUACGCAAUGGACGAAAGGCUGACGGAGGAAAGCCGCGGAAGGGAAGAAGGAGCACGGGUCGUAGAAUGAUGAAGGCGGGGAAGAAGAAGUGCCGUUUGAACAGGGAGGAGAAUGGAAGGUACCCGGGCAGAAAGCCACGGCAAACUACGU
This 498-nucleotide ribosomal RNA is filed under the name uncultured bacterium. RNAcentral describes it as "partial 16S ribosomal RNA". It matches the Rfam family "Bacterial small subunit ribosomal RNA", at positions 28 to 506 of the family's 1533-position model. The record is from RNAcentral.